GAUGAACGCUGGCGGCGUGCCUAAUACAUGCAAGUCGAGCGAACAGACGAGGAGCUUGCUCCUUCGACGUUAGCGGCGGACGGGUGAGUAACACGUAGGUAACCUACCUAUAAGACUGGGAUAACUUCGGGAAACCGGAGCUAAUACCGGAUAAUAUUUCGAACCGCAUGGUUCGAUAGUGAAAGAUGGCUUUGCUAUCACUUAUAGAUGGACCUGCGCCGUAUUAGCUAGUUGGUAAGGUAACGGCUUACCAAGGCAACGAUACGUAGCCGACCUGAGAGGGUGAUCGGCCACACUGGAACUGAGACACGGUCCAGACUCCUACGGGAGGCAGCAGUAGGGAAUCUUCCGCAAUGGGCGAAAGCCUGACGGAGCAACGCCGCGUGAGUGAUGAAGGUCUUCGGAUCGUAAACCUCUGUUAUUAGGGAAGAACAAACGUGUAAGUAACUGUGCACGUCUUGACGGUACCUAAUCAGAAAGCCACGGCUAACUACGUG
RNAcentral lists this ribosomal RNA (497 nucleotides) under uncultured bacterium. RNAcentral's name for it is "partial 16S ribosomal RNA". It matches the Rfam family "Bacterial small subunit ribosomal RNA", at positions 28 to 507 of the family's 1533-position model. The record is from RNAcentral.